Fomitopsis pinicola is the source of this 83-nucleotide transfer RNA. It matches the Rfam family "tRNA". From Rfam's summary of the family: Transfer RNA (tRNA) molecules are approximately 80 nucleotides in length. Their secondary structure includes four short double-helical elements and three loops (D, anti-codon, and T loops). Further hydrogen bonds mediate the characteristic L-shaped molecular structure. tRNAs have two regions of fundamental functional importance: the anti-codon, which is responsible for specific mRNA codon recognition, and the 3' end, to which the tRNAs corresponding amino acid is attached (by aminoacyl-tRNA synthetases). tRNAs cope with the degeneracy of the genetic code in two manners: having more than one tRNA (with a specific anti-codon) for a particular amino acid; and 'wobble' base-pairing, i.e. permitting non-standard base-pairing at the 3rd anti-codon position. The record is from Rfam. Lineage: Eukaryota; Fungi; Basidiomycota; Agaricomycetes; Polyporales; Fomitopsidaceae.
GCCGAGAUAGCUCAGUUGGGAGAGCAGCAGACUGAAGAGAUACCGAAUUCUGAAGGUCGGGCGUUCGAUCCGCCCUCUUGGCA